RNAcentral lists this small RNA (117 nucleotides) under Pseudomonas psychrophila. RNAcentral's name for it is "Pseudomon-1 RNA". It matches the Rfam family "Pseudomon-1/ErsA RNA". From Rfam's summary of the family: Functions to regulate the AlgC enzyme. Based on this information, the new name ErsA for the RNA was adopted. Lineage: Bacteria; Pseudomonadati; Pseudomonadota; Gammaproteobacteria; Pseudomonadales; Pseudomonadaceae. The record is from RNAcentral. RNAcentral also lists the same sequence under 1 other name.
AUGCUCCUAAUGUUGUGUUAAGUGUUGGCAGAUUCUGGACCCCGCCCCUAGCGGUCCAGUACUUGAACCCCGAACUUCCCUCCCCCAUACGAAGUCCGGGGUUUUUUUUGCCUGCCA